RNAcentral lists this ribosomal RNA (460 nucleotides) under uncultured marine eukaryote. RNAcentral's name for it is "SSU rRNA". It matches the Rfam family "Eukaryotic small subunit ribosomal RNA", at positions 619 to 1093 of the family's 1831-position model. The record is from RNAcentral.
UUAAAAAGCUCGUAGUUGGAUUUCUGUGAGAGUAUGAUGUCCUAACGUGUUUAGAGCGCAGAAAACUCUUGCAUCCUUCUGUUACCUCCACGUGGCAUUCACUUGCCAGUGGUUGGCUCAGAGAAUUUACCUUGAGAAAAUUAGAGUGUUUCAGGCAGGCUAGGCCGGAAUACAUUAGCGUGGAAUAAUAGAAUAGGACUCCGGUCUCGUUGUUGGUUUGAGGGACUAUAGUAAUGAUUAAUAGGGAUAGUUGGGGGCAUUAGUAUUCGAUUGUCAGAGGUGAAAUUCUCAGAUUUAUUGAAGACUAACUUAUGCGAAAGCAUUUGCCAAGGAUGUUUUCAUUAAUCAAGAACGAAAGUUAGGGGAUCAAAGACGAUCAGAUACCGUCCUAGUCUUAACCAUAAACUAUGCCGACUCGGGAUCGGGGGCGUGUUAUUAUCCGCCCUUCGGCACCGUAUGA